GAUCAGCCGUGCUCACGGGUAUGAGCGGCCUGGACCCUCACAUGAUAAUAUUAUCGGAAGAUGGACUUAACUUGUUAUCAUUUCAUGCAUAUGUUGUUUACUUUAUGUUCAUGUUUAAUUUCGGGUGGUAUGAACUUAUACUUAGUUAAUUGCUAAUAAAACUUGACCAACUUAAUUAAAAGCGAAUGCUAUUUAUGCCUUAGCCAUACCUUGGUUUGCCUUACACUACACUAUUCCCC
RNAcentral lists this long non-coding RNA (239 nucleotides) under Setaria viridis. RNAcentral's name for it is "long non-coding RNA (SVIR_LNC009604)". The record is from RNAcentral. Lineage: Eukaryota; Viridiplantae; Streptophyta; Magnoliopsida; Poales; Poaceae.